Molecule: ribosomal RNA, 119 nt
Filed under: Helianthus annuus (common sunflower)
Lineage: Eukaryota; Viridiplantae; Streptophyta; Magnoliopsida; Asterales; Asteraceae
Source: RNAcentral
GGUUGGUAUCAUACCAGCACUAAUGCACCGGAUCCCAUCAGAACUCCGCAGUUAAGCGUGCUUGGGCGAGAGUAGUACUUGGAUGGGUGACCCCAUGGGAAGUCCUCGUGUUGCAACCC